GUUACUGCUAUCGGUGUUCGACUAAGCCAUGCGAGUCAAAUGUUCUUCGUGAACAUGGCGGACUGCUCAGUAACACGUGGAUAACCUGCCCUUAGGUUCGGCAUAACUCCGGGAAACUGGAGAUAAUUCCGAAUAGGUCAAAUAUGCUGGAAUGCUUUUUGGCCAAAAGACCUCGGUUGCCUAAGGAUGGAUCUGCGGUCUAUCAGGCUGUAGUGGGUGUAACGUACCUACUAGCCUACGACGGAUAUGGGUUGUGAGAGCAAGAGCCCAGAGAUGGAUUCUGAGACAUGAAUCCAGGCCCUACGGGGCGCAGCAGGCGCGAAAACUUUACAAUGCGGGAAACCGCGAUAAGGGGACACCGAGUGCCAGCAUUUAUGUUGGCUGUCCACAUGUGUAAACGGCAUGUGUUAGCAAGGGCCGGGCAAGACCGGUGCCAGCCGCCGCGGUAACACCGGCGGCCCGAGUGGUAAUCACUUUUAUUGGGUCUAAAGGGUCCGUAGCCGGUUUGAUCAGUUCUUCGGGAAAUCUGACAGCUCAACUGUUAGGCUUCCGGGGAAUACUGUCAGACUUGGGACCGGGAGAGGUAAGAGGUACUACAGGGGUAGGAGUGAAAUCUUGUAAUCCCUGUGGGACCACCAGUGGCGAAGGCGUCUUACCAGAACGGGUCCGACGGUGAGGGACGAAAGCUGGGGGCACGAACCGGAUUAGAUACCCGGGUAGUCCCAGCCGUAAACGAUGUUCGCUAGGUGUCAGGGGCGGUGCGACCGCUUCUGGUGCCGUAGGGAAGCCGUGAAGCGAACCACCUGGGAAGUACGGCCGCAAGGCUGGAACUUAAAGGAAUUGGCGGGGGAGCACUACAACGGGUGGAGCCUGCGGUUUAAUUGGAUUCAACGCCGGA
This 898-nucleotide ribosomal RNA is filed under the name uncultured archaeon. RNAcentral describes it as "bacterial SSU rRNA". It matches the Rfam family "Archaeal small subunit ribosomal RNA", at positions 23 to 922 of the family's 1478-position model. The record is from RNAcentral.